Molecule: ribosomal RNA, 256 nt
Filed under: uncultured bacterium
Lineage: Bacteria
Description: partial 16S ribosomal RNA
Source: RNAcentral
CUGCUGCCUCCCGUAGGAGUUUGGGUCGUGUCUCAGUCCCAAUGUGGCCGAUCACCCUCUCAGGUCGGCUAUGUAUCAUCGCCUUGGUGAGCCUUUACCUCACCAACUAGCUAAUACAACGCGGGAUCAUCUUUGAGUGAUGCAAUUGCAUCUUUCAAACUUAAAACUUGUGUUUAAAGUUUUUAUGCGGUAUUAGCAUUCGUUUCCAAAUGUUGUCCCCUGCUCAAAGGCAGAUUCCCCACGCGUUACUCACCCG